CCUACGGGAGGCUGCAGUGGGGAAUAUUGGACAAUGGGGGGAACCCUGAUCCAGCCAUGCCGCGUGUGUGAAGAAGGCCUUAUGGUUGUAAAGCACUUUAAGCGAGGAGGAGGGUACUGGUAUUAAUACUACCAGCUACUGGACGUUACUCGCAGAAUAAGCACCGGCUAACUCUGUGCCAGCAGCCGCGGUAAUACAGAGGGUGCGAGCGUUAAUCGGAUGUACUGGGCGUAAAGCUUGCGUCGGCGGCGAAGUCCCCGAGCUUAACUUGGGAAUUGCAGUCGAUACUGGUUAGCUAGAGUGUGGGAGAGGAUGGUAGAAUUCCAGGUGUAGCGGUGAAAUGCGUAGAGAUCUGGAGGAAUACCGAUGGCGAAGGCAGCCAUCUGGCCUAACACUGACGCUGAGGUACGAAAGCAUGGGGAGCAAACAGGAUUAGAUACCCUAGUAGUC
RNAcentral lists this ribosomal RNA (450 nucleotides) under uncultured bacterium. RNAcentral describes it as "partial 16S ribosomal RNA". It matches the Rfam family "Bacterial small subunit ribosomal RNA", at positions 338 to 795 of the family's 1533-position model. The record is from RNAcentral.